CUGAUGACUAGGCAUUCAAAUAUAUGAGCCUAUGGGGGCCAUUCUUAUUUAAACCACCAUACAUAGUAUUAUAGAACUUUCUCAGUUGCCCUGUUCCUACACUCACGCUCCAAGAACUCUGCUUUCCUGGCCUUACUCUGUCCUGAGCAUUUACUAUUUGAUAGUAGAGAUGGGCUGUACUCCCACAUUGUGCCAGUCAAUGUAUGUUGCUACCUAACAGUACCCAAGCACAAGAGUAAGGUUCUUUCUUCAUCAUACCUUGUUCUUCAUUUAGGGAUAAGUAAAGGAUGCUGGCACAAAGACAAUGGAGUCCCAGCCAUACUUAAAAGGUAGGAUAAAUAGGGUAUGCAAAUGGAAGAGGACCACUUGAGAGCACAGUAGUCACGACAACUGCAUGGUUAAUACAGAUAGACAUCUGGGCAUGGUAGUGCCUGCUUUUGAUCCCAACACUUGGGAGGCAGAGACAGGGAGAUCUCUGUGAGUUCAAGCCUAGCCUGGUCUACAGAGGGAGUUUCAGGACAGCCAGGAGGAUGUAGUGAGACUUUCUCUCAAAAGGAAAAGAUGAGGAAGCCCAGAUCAAGUGGAGAGCCACACAGCUGAGAUCACUAGCUAGCCAAUGUAUUUGCUGUUCCAUCUGUAUAAAGUCUAUUUAGAAGUAAACCGGCCCUUAUUUGAUUGACAGUGGUUUGGAUUGUCUUUAACAAACUCACAACUACAAGCUAUUAAUUCACAUGAUCAAGUCCCACCAUAGAAUUUGAUUGCUUAGUACCUGGCAGAGGACGGAGAGAAGUCCUUCUGAAAGAAGGCCUGUGAACACCCACACACAUACUUCAAGUUACAUGGGUAGCUUCCUUACUUUCCUAGCUUUGCAACUCUGUGUUAGAAUGUUACACACACACACACACACACACACACACACACACACACACACACACAAAAGCUAGGACAUAGGAAAUCUGAGUGACAUUGUCAUGCUGGAACUAGACCCACCCCCACCCCACCGCCAUGAUCCUUCUGUUGCAUGUUGCUUCCUGGGACUAUCCACCAGGAUUCCACAAAACCAUGUGACUCCCACAUGAAGUCACAGCUAGGGUUCCUGGAGCCAGAAGAAACAAGUGGCACUUGGAAAAUGCAAACACUGUCAUUGCCUCUGCUCCUCAGGGUACAUCUGUGAUCCCAGGACUUGGGAAGCUGACGCAGCAAGAUUGUGAGUUGGAGGUAAAUCUAGACAACAUAGUGAGAGCAUGCCUUACCCAAACUAAGAAAGCCGGGUGACCAAUGGGGGAGAUGGCCCCCAAAAGGCCAAAGAGCGCACUCCAGUUCCAAGAAAUCAAUCCGAUAUUCUAAUGACUGAGAAACCAUGGCUCUGGAAGCCAGGAAUAAAACCCAAUAUAUCCACCCAUUAGAAAAGAGAAGAUUUGAUAAAGAUUUGGGGCUAUUCAACUUCAAAGGUCCUGGCUGCAUAACAAUCACUCCAUCCUCAACUUCUGCGCCAGGAGAGCCUCGAGUGGAAAUAUUUUCUAUCAUCGGGAAAGGAUUCUGUUCGGUGGAAUCAGUUUCUCGAUAAGGCGGUAAUUACUGGAGCAAUUUUAGUAGGUACAAAAGCAUUUUUAACAGUUUUAAUUAUUCAAAAGCCUGACUAAUUAUCUAGUCCAUGGAUCAGAGGCCAAAGGGGGAUAAACCGUAUGAAAAUGGUUACCAUGGCAGGGAGAAGGGAGAACUCAGCCAGCUUCAAAUGGAAAGCUACCCUGUGACUUUGUAGUGAGAACUGUGCCCUGAUGCGUUUGCUGAGGGUGGACACUGGCCUGGGUCUUAGGAGACAUGGAUUCUGAUGCAUCAUUGACCUUCAUCCUAUAUGGACGGACUUUCCCUCAUCAGUAUUAAAGGAUAGGAAUGGACUGUAGUGGGGGGAAACAUACGGCUCUAAAACUCUGUCAGGAGCUGACGAUCUAUAGUUCUGUAGUACUCUGUGUGUGUGUGUGUGUGUGUGUGUGUGCGUGCAUGUGUGUGAGUGUAUCUAUGUACACACAUAUAUGCAUGCCAAAGAGACUGAAGUUACAGGUGUGUGUGAGCUGCCAGACCUGGGUGCUAGAACUCAGGUGCUUUGGAUAAAUAAAAUAAGCUUUCUCCAGCCCAAGGACUAUCUUAAACUACAAAUUUCAUUGCUUUUACCCUCCUGGGGCAAUGAAAACCAGACGUUGUUCCUGAUGUUACAAGAGCCUUGCUCAUAUCUGAAGUACAAAAAGGAGUUGGACAGGCAUGUUGGGUGGGCUAACAUGAGGGGUGACUGGCAGAGUGUGACAGGGCUCCUCUGAUAAUGAGUGUGUUCCUUUACAAAUGUCAACUUCGGGGUGAAGAAAAGCCAUUCUCAUUCCUUGGGCAUUUACAGACCACCUGCUGUAACUGAGUGACUUUCUCAUACUGGAACUAACCUCUGCCCUCCCAACUCACACCCAAAGACCCACAGCCCUUCAGUUGCAUUUUGCUUCCCAGGACGGAAGAGAGUUAUCUUGUGUGUUUCGGAGCCACCACGGGAUUUGAGGAAGAAUGAUUGAAUCUGACAUGGGCGUAAUUAGCCAUAAUACAGGGCAGACUGUGGCCCACCAUGGAGGAACACAAAGCAUUCAGGAAGUUAUACAAAAACGAUUGUUUUAGACUUGAGAGAACAAGAAAAAUCUGGAGGCAGGAGAAACUUGAAAGGAGGAAGUCUGUUUCAAGUGAAGAGGAACUCGGAAGCUGAAGCCGCCGGGAUUUGCUUAACGAUGCUGUCUCUGUACUGUGUCCUGUGCCAGACACUAAGGACAAAGCCAUGACUCCAUCUUCCCCUGACCAGACUGUCCUCAGUGAGUACAAAGGCAGGGCUAAGUGAAGAGAAGAGAUGGUGUUGAUUCCUGUUUAUUCACAAAGACCCCGCGCCUGUUUGUUACAACAACUUAGCAUAACCAGGCUGACCUCCAGCACUGAAUGGCUUGUCUAAACAAUAAGCAGGUAUUUGUCACAUCAGCCACAAGGUGACAUUUCCUCUGAUGGAAGCUAUCAAUACAUCUGAUUCACAUUGAUGGAAUUAUCUUCCACGAAACCACUCAGGCUCCUAGCUACCAGAUGGUACCAAGGUCUCAAUGAGUUUCCAUUGUCUCAAAGAAAAGAAUUAGAAAAUCCAGCCUAGAAUAAGUUAUUGCAAAGAACAGUGGUCUUACCUCAAUGCUGGUCCUGCUUUUUAAGGCGUUCUCCUUCUGUGCCAGGGAAUGUUCUGAGUGUAGCGGAGUAACAAGCUCACUCAAUCUUAGCUGCCCAGAGAUGCCCUCUGUGUGGCCCUUCCCCCAGUCAGCCACUGCUUUGCCUUGCCGAUGGGUUUUCUCUGCCUUCCAGCAUCCACCUUGGAUGGCAACUCCUAAGUACCAGGCACUGAAACACCCCCUCUCUGCAUAGCCCUGCUCUGUUGCAUAGGCACAGAUGUGCACUCACACAUCAAUUUCUAAUGAAGGAAGCAGUCUUCGGCUAAGGAUGGAUGGGGUCUCAUGAGCAAACAACCCACUCCAGUGUUGCGUGUCAUUGAGAGGCAACACAGAAUCUCACAAUGUCCUUAGCAAGAGUAUGUACUAGUCGCUCAAGGCAUUACCUUGCUGACUGCUGCACCAUUUAAUGACUGUUCUCUUUCUGGUCUCCUUUGAUGAGCCCACUGUUCUGUCUUCAUCUCCAAGAUGACCAUUUGCCUUUAAACCCAUGCUUCAAGGUCUUUGCCCCAAGGGAAUCCAGAGCCAGAUACUGCCCUGUGAGGGAGAAAGAUUUUUAUUGACUCCCUUAGUUUAGACCAAAAAAGAAAUGGAACCAGAGAAAGGUUGGCUAACUUGUGGAAGAUGAAAUGGCUGGAAAGAGACAAACCUUGGCAUCAAACUCAGGCUCAAAGUCUGUGUGGCAAACCCACCACUCCUGGGAGAACCACACAAUCACAGAGCGCUCUAGCUGCAUUGCCCUGGCUCUUGGAAACAGACGACAGGGCUAGGCCUCUUCUAAUCCAAGCAUCUCGACCAACAUCACAGAAGCAGAACGAAUAUUACAUGGUUCUCUGACCGUCCACCAUGUUUUAUUUCCAACUGAUCUCUCUCUGAAUUUCCUACUCCAUCAUGUCUGUCUGAGUAAUUUCAGAACCAGAGAUUGGUGAAGACUGAAUUUCUCUGGGCUUUCUUUCCUCUGCACUAAGAGAAAAGUCUAUUGUAGGAAACCGUCUGUGAGAUUCGUUGACUGUUGGCACUAAUGAAAAGAAAAAGAAAAGAAAAAAAAGAAAACUUUCUUCCCUUAAAGCUAUUUCAAAGAUCUUAGAUAAUGAUAGUAGAAAAUAACCCCCAAAAUAAGAAGAGCAAGAUGCAAAAGUUUAAUAUCAGGCCUAUUUUGUCAUCCUGAAAUCUAACCCACUUUGCUUUGGUAGUGAAAUUUGAGCUGUUAUGAUGGGAAACGACGGGAAGUGUCUGUGUUUACCUAAAGAGUACAGUGUUUUCUCAACCCACUUUUUCACCAUGGCAAAGUUUGCCGUUCUUUGUUCAUACCUCAAACAAGUCAAAAUCAUGCUUCUGUUUUCUUCCUGCCUUUCAUGUUGACAAACAGACACAACUGGGUUUUUAAAAGCUAGAAUGGAAGAAAGAAAAAGGGAGGAAGGGAGAGAGAUGGAGGAGAAGAAGGAAAGAAUAAAAGAGGAACAAGUGCCCACAGAGGAGGGUCUCUGGGAUCCCCAACUGGAACUGUAUCAUUGACCACCGGUGAUUAAAAUAUGCUACAGUCAUCCAAUGCCUCAAAGGCAUCUGAGUCCAUCACUCCUGUAAGGAUGUAUCCUAAGCCACGCCCCUCUUCCUCUUCCCAGCAUUCCAGCCAGCAGAGCACUGAGAGAGAGAGAAGAGAGAGAAAGAGAGAGAGAGAGAGAGAUCAAAUCAAUGAGUAGUGAUCCCUCCAUAGCCUUCCAUGUAUUUCUAGGAUUCCCAAAGACAGCACACAUACAAGUGCUCAAGUCCUGUGUAUAAAAUGGUACAGAGCUUGCCCAGAACCCAGAACAUACUCCCACGUGAUUCAAAUGAUGGGAACCUUUGAGAUUAGCCUGGUUGAGCAGUCAAGGCAAGGCCACCACCCUGUCCUGAAGUCCACCUCUGCAGGGUUUCAGUGCGGGUUGUCCAGUUGUCAGGUGUAUAGUGAGCCCUCUAGUGGAUGCAGUUGGAACUCAUCCUGAGCCUCUCAGCCCGUUAGUUACCAUUGUGGGUGCUCACAGCUGCUUUCUAAAGAUGGAACGUGUCCCCCGACCUUGGCCUCCAGCAGCUCACGCCUUAGACUGUCUCUGCCAGGUGGCUUUGGGCUUUGGAGCUACUCUGCUCCCACAGAGAUGUGAAAAUCACAGGAUCUAUGUGUCCCUAGAGCAGCUUUCCACCAGAGCCAUGGACAGUGCACCCAGGGUCAGUGCACCCAGGGUCUAAAGACGCUGCUUGCCUGCUGAAGGGCACCCUGCAGAGAUGCACUUGAGCACCCCCUGUGGGACUUUGUCCUGAAGUCACACCCGGCCCCCUCCCAUUCUACAGCCAUCCCCACCUCUGUCUGUCCCCCCACCCCCACCCCCACCUGGGUGUACUUUCCACUUACAGACGUAUGCCCAUUCCAUGUUGUGUUUCUCAGGAAGACCUCAGACAGCUGCGUGUAAGCCUGGACCUGUAAAGGACUCUGGGGAUUCAAGCAGGGAGUAAGAUACAGCCUGUUUUCCAAGGACUUUAUGGUGUUGUGGACAGAAAGAAAAAUGCAUACAUGAACUAUUCCAGGUUGUAUGUGAUCGUGCUGGAGUGGAAAUGAAAAUAACAGCAAUCUGAGGUGGGGAGGGAGGAUGUGCCAGCUAGUCUUUAUGUCAACUUGACACAGGCCAGAGUGCUCUUAGAGGAAGAAACCCCAAUUGAGAAAAUGUCUCCAUAAGAUCAGGCUAUAGGCAAGCCUAUAGGACAUUUUGUUAGUGAUUGAUGUGGGAGGGUCCAGCCACAUUGUGGAUGAGAAUUCUCCUAGCUUGAUGGUCCUGGGCUCUCUAUGAAAGCAGGCUAAAGAAGCCAUGAGGAGCAAGCCAGAAAGUAGCAUCCCUCUGUGGUGUCUGCAACAACUCCUGCCUCCAGAUUUCUGCCUUGUCUGAGUGCCUGUCCUGACUUCUUUCAAUGAUGAACA
This is a long non-coding RNA of Mus musculus (house mouse), 6180 nucleotides long. RefSeq annotates it as predicted gene 14246. Lineage: Eukaryota; Metazoa; Chordata; Mammalia; Rodentia; Muridae. The record is from RefSeq and is a predicted model, not a curated record. The transcript has 3 exons.